AGCGAACGCUGGCGGCAGGCCUAACACAUGCAAGUCGAACGAACUCUUCGGAGUUAGUGGCGGACGGGGGAGUAACACGUGGGAACGUGCCUUUUGGUUCGGAAUAACUCAGGGAAACUUGUGCUAAUACCGAAUGUGCCCUUCGGGGGAAAGAUUUAUCGCCAUUAGAGCGGCCCGCGUCUGAUUAGCUAGUUGGUGAGGGAACGGCUCACCAAGGCGACGAUCAGUAGCUGGUCUGAGAGGAUGACCAGCCACACUGGGACUGAGACACGGCCCAGACUCCUACGGGAAGCAGCAGUGGGGAAUCUUGCGCAAUGGGCGAAAGCCUGACGCAGCCAUGCCGCGUGAAUGAUGAAGGUCUUAGGAUUGUAAAAUUCUUUCACCGGGGACGAUAAUGACGGUACCCUGAGAAGAAGCCCCGGCUAACUUCGUG
This 433-nucleotide ribosomal RNA is filed under the name uncultured bacterium. RNAcentral's name for it is "partial 16S ribosomal RNA". It matches the Rfam family "Bacterial small subunit ribosomal RNA", at positions 29 to 507 of the family's 1533-position model. The record is from RNAcentral.